Cylas formicarius (sweet potato weevil) is the source of this 2471-nucleotide long non-coding RNA. RefSeq lists it as uncharacterized. NCBI's taxonomy places the organism in Eukaryota, Metazoa, Arthropoda, Insecta, Coleoptera, Brentidae. The record is from RefSeq and is a predicted model, not a curated record. The transcript is spliced from 5 exons.
ACACCUCUGAAGUAUCAGUUUCAUUUAGAGUCAACGGUGCAGGAAGUACAUCGGAGGACGAAUUUGAUAGUCAAAACUAGAAGCUGAACCACAAUAACCUAAACCUUGAGCACAUGGACCUUUUAACUUUAUUUUUAAUCUUUACGUAGGUGCCGAAGAUUUGGGGUCAAGGUGGCAACAAUGGUUAGGGCGUGCACAAUGGAUCACACGCUAUUCCUGCGAAAGGGACAGAGAUAUCUGCUUUCUCUCUCACUCGUUACUUCUAUUCGGCAACGGAACUCGUUCGAACUAUUUGGUGUGCGUCGUUGGCCAGGCUGAUUUGUGCUGAUCAUUGUUUUUGGUUCUUGGUUGCAAAAAUACGAAUUAGAAGUUUUUAGUAUUUAAGGAAGCGGAAUCGGUGUCACGGCAACAUGAAGAUCAUUCUCGAUAACCGAAAAUUGAACGCUGGUCAGUUAAAAAACUCAUCCGCAAUCAGGGCAUGUUGAUGUAAGGCACCUAAGUCAUAUUUCAGCGUUAGGACAUAUAACCCCAAGAAUGCAUACCUUCCAGGGAUUAGCAAUCUUACAAGAGGUCGAUGCAAAAUUUAGAAGGACUGACGAAAGAAAAAGGAUCUUAAAAGCGAUUGACAAUGACAGGAUGCAGCAUUUAAAAAAGGAUAAUCAAACUACGGAAUAAACCAUUAGGAGAAAUCGAGUAACAAAAUCAGUUGGGACACAAUCCUUAUUUUAAUCUCUGGCAAGAUUAGCAAUGUUUUUAACCUAUUAUUAACAAUAUUUUCGAGAAAGAGACAAUGUUAAGAGGGAAAUCUGCCAUAUUUGCUUUACAAUUAUGCCACAAAUUUCAUUUGGUAAAAAAAAAUUUUCAUAAUUUUUUCUAUUUAACUCUAAAACGAGGUGAAAUAUGCAAGUAACUGAACCAUAAAAAAAUUUACUUUUGUGUGGCUUAUUCAAAGUAAAUUACAAAAAUUUCAAAAAGUCAGUUGCCUAUAUAUCUUUCAUAAUAUUAUUAUAAUAUUAUUGGGUACGAUAGUUGAAGCAGAAUUGAUCAUUACCCAUCUUGACGUUGCCAAAUUUCAAUAAAAUCCGACAAAAUGUAGUUAACAUUCUCGUAACGCGGAACCUAAGCAUUUCAGAUCUGGGUACAUGUGAACUUUUUUUCUUUUUGUUAUAACAAACAAUUAUUAGCUUGUCGAUAAGUUAUGAAAUGGAGAAAUUAUCUUGUGUCAUCUCUCGUUUUACAAAAAAAGUCGUACAUCUACAUUACAUAUUCUUUAAUUGCAUUUCAGAAUAAGAACUUAAGGUUCAUAGAAAACAUCACCGGGUAGAAGUGUGGUCGUAGUUGAAAAGAAACAAUUAUUCGGGAGAUAUCUUUAAAAUAUUUGCACUGAAUUUCUUGCAUUUACGACAUGUGCACGAAUAUAAAACCGACGACUCGUAGCUCCGCAUACAAAAUAACAUUUUCACCGCUCCCGAGCAACGUCACUUAAUGCAAAACGACUCCAUUUACGGAACUAUGUAAAUUAGAUUAUCCCGCGGUCCAUAAAGUUCCCAAAGGUCAGCGACGCAGGACCCAGAACUGUAUAUUCCAAAAUAAUUUUGUCGGUCUAAAAGGCACUUGGUUUUCUGAUCAUUAAACAGGGUUGACAAAUGUUAUAACGUAAAGUUCAGAUAAAUUCCAAUGAUAGUUUCUUUAUUUCAAUUUUCUAGGGUCACACUAAUUUGCAUGCAAUAGGAAGACGAGUUUGAGUGAAUGAAAGUAAUGUGACAGCGGCGUUACAACAGUUUAUUAGAACGAUAAUAAUACAAUACUAUAUACUAAUAUAAUAUAUACUAAUACUUCUCUAUCGAUAACUACCAGUUGGGGCGGGUAAAAAAAUUCAAAUCCUUAAUGUUAGGCAAUGACAUCAUAAAAGAACUAAAUAAUAGGAUUCAAGCUGAAAACAGAGGCUUCUUUGCUCUCAAGCUUUAGUGAAAUGAAAGGAACUUACCACAAAAACUAAACUAAAUCUACAGAAAGCAAUCAUAAAACUUGUAGUAAUAUAUGGUUGCGAGACCUGGACGCUCUAACCAUUGCAAAUGAAGAAGCAGAAGAUAUUUAGAAGGAAGGUGCUGAGGGAGAAUGUUCGGUCCAAACAGAUAAGAACCAACAGCACAAGCACUCAAAGAAGUGUAAAGAUGGCAACACAAUGACAGAAGAAGAACCACGAACACUCAAGCUGGCCUGAAAAUAAUGCUAAAAAGAGUAAGAUAGAGUAAGAGUAGAUAAGUAGAAUUGGCAAAAACCCUCCCAGGGCUGUGAAGGAGAUGACUGUAAUUAUAGAGCCGAGCAAUUAAUCAACUUAAGACUUAUAUGCAGGUAAGGAUAAUAUGAAAAUAGAUAAAUGGUAAUAAAUAAUAAUAAUAAGCGACUCUGCAGUGUUUUCUAGAAUAUUUCUAGAAGCUUCCCACAUUCUUCUAUUUGUCUUGAUUGUU